CUUUGGGCCUGCGGUGGCACCUCAAGGCAGAGCAAAACCAUUUACCUCACAGUGGGAAGCAAAAAAAAGGAAGUCCCCUUCAAAGGCACGCCCCCAAUGACCUGAAGACCUCUCUCUAGGUCCCGCCUCUUAAAGGCUCUACCUCUUCCCAACAGUGCCUCUCUGGGGAAAAGACUUUAGCACAUGGGCCCUUAUAGAACCUUCCAGAUCCAAACAAUAGCAUUUUCCAAAUCAGUUGGGAUUUUAUCUCUAGGAAAUACAGAUAAGGUAGAUCUUUGGAUUGGGAAGUCAGGAAAGUAUGAGAUAAAAUAGAAAUGACCUGAAGGAAAUCUUUCUGUCCACCUAAGUCUGGCCACAAAGCUGCUGGUGGGUCAGCCUGCCCAGCACUCCCUUAUGGGGCUUUCACCUCUGUGUGUCCAUCAACUUGGAGAUGGCCAAGUGCGUGCAUGGAGGGUGUCUCAGGGCGCCCCCUGGUGCUCGCUGAGGACAUCUCAGGACGCCCUUCUGCCGUGGUCCUGGUAAUGGCAGGCAGCAGGGGCGGCGUCCAGGGCACAGGGUGAACCUCAGAUCUGCAGUGUCAGCAGAGGAGUUCACAAGGAGGACAGAAAAGCCACCGCGGGCUCAGUAAGGUCAAAGACAGCCAGCUGUUUGCAGAGUCUGAGUUCUUCCGGGAUUUGGUGGCUUUAUAGUCACCUCUUAGAACAUUUGGGAGAGGCAUCUGAGUAAAGAGAUGCCUCACCACUGUGGCAGGCACCGUCCAUCUGAGGAGGCCCAAACAGGACAAAGGACAGAGGGGGAGCAAACGCUCCCUCUGCUUCAGCUGUGACAGUGGCCUUUUACCCAAAGGCCUCGGGGCUUGACCUGAGUCACAUCACCAGCCUUCCUGGUCUCAGCUCGCAGACUACAGCUGGUGACAUCUCUGUC
RNAcentral lists this long non-coding RNA (924 nucleotides) under Marmota monax (woodchuck). The record is from RNAcentral. Lineage: Eukaryota; Metazoa; Chordata; Mammalia; Rodentia; Sciuridae.